UGGGGAAUUUUGGACAAUGGGCGCAAGCCUGAUCCAGCAAUGCCGCGUGCAGGAUGAAGGCCUUCGGGUUGUAAACUGCUUUUGUACGGAACGAAACGGCUCUGGUUAAUACCUGGGGCUAAUGACGGUACCGUAAGAAUAAGCACCGGCUAACUCUGUGCCAGCAGCCGCGGUAAUACGUAGGGUGCGAGCGUUAAUCGGAAUUACUGGGCGUAAAGCGUGCGCAGGCGGUUAUAUAAGACAGAUGUGAAAUCCCCGGGCUCAACCUGGGAACUGCAUUUGUGACUGUAUAGCUAGAGUACGGCAGAGGGGGAUGGAAUUCCGCGUGUAGCAGUGAAAUGCGUAGAUAUGCGGAGGAACACCGACGGCGAAGGCAAUCCCCUGGGCCUGUACUGACGCUCAUGCACGAAAGCGUGGGGAGCAAACA
This 427-nucleotide ribosomal RNA is filed under the name uncultured bacterium. Its description in RNAcentral is "bacterial SSU rRNA". It matches the Rfam family "Bacterial small subunit ribosomal RNA", at positions 355 to 774 of the family's 1533-position model. The record is from RNAcentral.